UGGGGGAUAUUGCACAAUGGGGGAAACCCUGAUGCAGCGACGCCGCGUGAGUGAAGAAGUAUUUCGGUAUGUAAAGCUCUAUCAGCAGGGAAGAUAAUGACGGUACCUGAGUAAGAAGCCCCGGCUAACUACGUGCC
This 137-nucleotide ribosomal RNA is filed under the name uncultured bacterium. Its description in RNAcentral is "partial 16S ribosomal RNA". It matches the Rfam family "Bacterial small subunit ribosomal RNA", at positions 355 to 509 of the family's 1533-position model. The record is from RNAcentral.